GAUGAACGCUGGCGGCGUGCCUAAUACAUGCAAGUCGAGCGAACAGACGAGGAGCUUGCUCCUCUGACGUUAGCGGCGGACGGGUGAGUAACACGUGGAUAACCUACCUAUAAGACUGGGAUAACUUCGGGAAACCGGAGCUAAUACCGGAUAAUAUAUUGAACCGCAUGGUUCAAUAGUGAAAGACGGUUUUGCUGUCACUUAUAGUUGGAUCCGCGCCGCAUUAGCUAGUUGGUAAGGUAACGGCUUACCAAGGCAACGAUGCGUAGCCGACCUGAGAGGGUGAUCGGCCACACUGGAACUGAGACACGGUCCAGACUCCUACGGGAGGCAGCAGCAGGGAAUCUUCCGCAAUGGGCGAAAGCCUGACGGAGCAACGCCGCGUGAGUGAUGAAGGUCUUCGGAUCGUAAAACUCUGUUAUUAGGGAAGAACAAAUGUGUAAGUAACUAUGCACGUCUUGACGGUACCUAAUCAGAAAGCCACGGCUAACUACGUG
This 497-nucleotide ribosomal RNA is filed under the name uncultured bacterium. RNAcentral's name for it is "partial 16S ribosomal RNA". It matches the Rfam family "Bacterial small subunit ribosomal RNA", at positions 28 to 507 of the family's 1533-position model. The record is from RNAcentral.